CUCCUACGGGAGGCAGCAGUGAGGAAUAUUGGUCAAUGGGCGGAAGCCUGAACCAGCCAAGUAGCGUGAGGGAAGACUGCCCUACGGGUUGUAAACCUCUUUUGUUUGGGAAUAAAGUGCGGGACGCGUCCCGCAUUGCAUGUACCAUUUGAAUAAGGACCGGCUAAUUCCGUGCCAGCAGCCGCGGUAAUACGGAAGGUCCGGGCGUUAUCCGGAUUUAUUGGGUUUAAAGGGAGCGUAGGCCGGAGAUUAAGCGUGUUGUGAAAUGUAGGUGCUCAACAUCUGCACUGCAGCGCGAACUGGUUUCCUUGAGUACGCACAAAGUGGGCGGAAUUCGUGGUGUAGCGGUGAAAUGCUUAGAUAUCACGAAGAACUCCGAUUGCGAAGGCAGCUCACUGGAGCGCAACUGACGCUGAAGCUCGAAAGUGCGGGUAUCGAACAGGAUUAGAUACCCUGGUAGUCCGCACGGUAAACGAUGGAUGCCCGCUGUUGGUCUGAAUAGGUCAGCGGCCAAGCGAAAGCAUUAAGCAUCCCACCUGGGA
RNAcentral lists this ribosomal RNA (542 nucleotides) under uncultured bacterium. RNAcentral's name for it is "bacterial SSU rRNA". It matches the Rfam family "Bacterial small subunit ribosomal RNA", at positions 336 to 878 of the family's 1533-position model. The record is from RNAcentral.